UACGGGGGGGGCAAGCGUUGUUCGGAAUUACUGGGCGUAAAGGGCUCGUAGGUGGCCAACUAAGUCAGACGUGAAAUCCCUCGGCUUAACCGGGGAACUGCGUCUGAUACUGGAUGGCUAGAGUUUGGGAGAGGGAUGCGGAAUUCCAGGUGUAGCGGUGGAAUGCGUAGAGAUCUCCAAGAACACCAGUUGCGAAGGCGGCUGACUGGACCCAUAUUGACGCUGAGGCUCGAAAGCAUGGGGAGCAAACAGG
This 253-nucleotide ribosomal RNA is filed under the name uncultured bacterium. RNAcentral describes it as "partial 16S ribosomal RNA". It matches the Rfam family "Bacterial small subunit ribosomal RNA", at positions 524 to 776 of the family's 1533-position model. The record is from RNAcentral.